Molecule: RNA transcript, 2543 nt
Organism: Stylophora pistillata
Lineage: Eukaryota; Metazoa; Cnidaria; Anthozoa; Scleractinia; Pocilloporidae
Source: RefSeq, a predicted model, not a curated record
UCAACGGCAGAACGAAAUGGAGCGAAGUAUUUCAGAAGCAAUGAAUGAUCAACCACAUCUGAAAGCGAAGAUAGAAUGUCGCAAACGUGUCUUUCUUUUUAAUUGCGACAAAACGUACAGUUUAGAAUCGGUGGGGAAACUGCUUCUUGACAUGAAAGGGGAUACAAGACAAGAGCUCAGCUUCGACAUCGUCAAGACAUAUUUUCGCCCUUCUGAAAUGUCGCAUGUGGCUGAAAAAGCCACUCCCAAACUACAAAUGGAUGUUGUCUUAUAUGUGGUUUAUGCGAAUGAACCUCGUCUUUCCAUAAACGAGGAAAAUGCUGGACUCGGUUAGGCAAAGAUCUAUAAAGCACUACUUCAAGCUACAGACAGAAAUGUUCAAAUUGUAAUUGGUGGUGACAAUCAUUAAAAGAGUACAGAUGAAGAGAAGUCGUCUGUAAUUUCUCGUUGGGCAAGGAGAAAAGUUUCCUCUCAGUUUCAAGACGAGUUUCUGGACGGAAGGAAAAGCUUCAUCUUUUUGUGGAACAAAACUCACAGAAAGAUUCAUGAAGAAGUGCUACCGAAUUAUUUUGACUCAGGUAAGAGUGGACAAAAGUUUGAAUGUAAGCCAAAUGAGCGGCCUGAACUAUCUGAAGAUACUCCUCACAAGGCACACGAGACCGAGAAGCUAGAAGCGGUAUUGCGGGAGCAAUUAACGGAUCGUCCACAUGCAACAGAUGGGGCGCACAGUUCCUCAGAGAAAGACGUAAACACAAACACAUGUUUAUCUUGGAGGUGAGGUGUAAUGACGAAGAAGAUAAAUCAAAAGAAGAAAGAAAGAAGGAAACGACGUGGAAAGAUCCUAAAAGUAACGGGGAUGGACCCUCGGAAGACUGUGCCAGGAAAAUCGCCCCGAUGAAGACAACGGAAGAUGUGUUGAUUUCUUAUUUACGUGAUAUAGGCACGAUAGGCAUGGAUGACUAUGUCACAGUAAACGAGGAUGACCUUAUUGAUGAGGAAAGAAGUAACUAUUUGAGAGUAUCGUUGUGUCUAAGUUUACCUUAGGCUAUCGAUUGGUUGUUUUUAUUUUGAGUUUAUUCAGUUUAUGAAUAGUUCGAUGAAAUCUUCGUCACCAAGAAAAUAUUAACGGAGAGCUCUCAGUUGAUAUUCUCCUGUCGUCAGAUAUGGUUCGAUUUUUACAUAGUUACGUAAUUGUGGGAGGUGAUUUGGACCAUUUUGUGUUUUAUUAUUUGUUUUCCCGUGCUAGGAAAUUUAAGGCAAUUUUUGUUCCAUUGCAGUGCGUUAGGGUUGAAGCCCCUGUUAAUUUUUCUUUUUGCUCAGAUGAUCAAUCAAGGUUCCUUACAUAUUUAUGAUAGCGUGAAUUGUAGACAUAGCAUCUCCCUUUUCUGAGAGUAUUUACCCAGGCCGACGCAUGUUUUGGCUUUUGAAUAUAGUCUGAAAUGAUGUUCUUCCUGUCUCAGAGAGAUUCUAGUCCUUCAGCACGUUUGAAAGUGUUUUUUAAUGUUCUCUGUCUCAUGAAAACCAGUUUUCGUGUCGCAUAUUCAGCGAACACACCAUGUUAAAGCGACAGUUUCCGUAACGAAGAUUUUCAAUUUUCAGCGUUUUCUGAGGACCAGCAAAUGAAUGACAAAACAAAUUAAGGGACGCUUGUGAUGAAAACCGUCAUGCGAAAUGGCAGCAUCCUCUAAGUAUGCUUGAAAUCCGCAGUGGAUACCUCCGAGUGGAUUUUUACCCCAUAUAUAUAUUUGAGCAGCUGGCACAUGUUGCAGAGAUCGAAGUGGAAAUCUUCCAUAAGGAGGAGGCAGGCGCUUUGUGCGUUGUGAUGAGAGAGAAUUCGGUCAUCCAUGCCAUUAUUGAGUAUUUUUGGAACAUGAUGAGCGGGGUUUUGACCGUCUUUACAAUCUCAGUCUUAAAAGUGCCUGAAGAUAACGAUAUAGAGAAGCAGACUGAUGAACUUCUGAUCUGAAGCACGAGGGAUCUAUUUGUUUUUCAAAACAAGCGGCAAGAACCCAUAAUCCCCUAUCCCCCUUCCCCGCCCCCUCCAUUUCCUUGUGUAAAUAAUUAUAUGCCAGAACCACGUAAAUCUCUAAAGUACUUGUUAGCUUCGUUAAAGUCACGUAAACGACAACAAAAUGUAUUAGGAGCAUCAAUAGCUAACGUGUAGCUGGAACAGACACCUUAGAUUAGAAACAUAUUUGCAGAAAGAGGGGAUGGAUUUUGAAUGUAUAGGGAUUCUUGGAUCCGUUCAGCUGACCGUGAUCUGGGGGAAGCCAAAGUUCUGCAUUUUUUUUUAUCGCUAUAAUUGUUUUAGUUUAAGACUAGAACAGUGACAGGGUCAAAGCUUGUGGUGUAAUUGUAAUCUUAUCUUUCACUACACAGUAAGAGUAUUGUAUCGCUUAUCCUGUGAACUCAAUUACAAACACAUUUAGAUAGGGUCGAAGUGUUGGAGUACAAACACUAAGACCAUAUUACCAUUUCAAAACAACAUUGUGCCUCUUUAUCAUGUUUAAUAAAUUUGGCGUACAUCUGUACAUUGACAGGUC